Corticium candelabrum is the source of this 359-nucleotide long non-coding RNA. RefSeq lists it as uncharacterized. The transcript is spliced from 4 exons. The record is from RefSeq and is a predicted model, not a curated record. NCBI's taxonomy places the organism in Eukaryota, Metazoa, Porifera, Homoscleromorpha, Homosclerophorida, Plakinidae.
UUGCAAGUGUUGACAAUGACAGGAGCAUACGUAGAAGAAGACCUUGUUCUUGGUCUCAUUCAAUUUUUUGCUGGCAUGACAGAACUCCAUACAUACAUUGUGCAGCAGCUUUAUGUUGCUCUCAGUGGUGACAUUAGCCAGCAAUCCCUUGUUCAAAUUGGUGUUUGGUGUAUUGGUGAGUAUGGUGAUCUGCUAUUGCUGGGACCAACUCAGGGAGAAGAGGCUAUUGAGGUGAGUGAGUCUGAUGUGCUCAAUGUAUUGCAAGCUGUAUUGGAGAGUCCUCAUUCAUUGCCAACUUCCCUUAACUUUUGCUGUGACAAGCGUUAUGAAGCUCAGUACCAGAUUCACACAGACAGUAG